This 204-nucleotide long non-coding RNA is filed under the name Sorghum bicolor (sorghum). RNAcentral's name for it is "long non-coding RNA (SBIC_LNC009415)". The record is from RNAcentral. Lineage: Eukaryota; Viridiplantae; Streptophyta; Magnoliopsida; Poales; Poaceae.
GGGUGUUCCAUGUCACUAGUUCGGGCUUGACUGUAAAAAUUAUCUCUAGAUAUUUCUCUCCAGAACUGGUGUCUCUCAAAAUUGGGUAAAUCGGAGUCAAUGUUCAGGAUGCAUCUUGAAGAGAAACCAAGAUGGUCGCUUAGCUCUCUCCAGGAUAACAUAAUUUCCUGUUUGAACAUCCGAAAAACAAUUCCCCCUCAUAGU